AUUGCCUUAGUAACGGCGAGUGAAGCGGCAACAGCUCAAAUUUGAAAUCUGAAGUUUACUUCCGAGUUGUAAUUUGAAGAGGAUGCUUCGGUUGUAGCUCCGGCCUAAGUUCCUUGGAACAGGACGUCGCAGAGGGUGAGAAUCCCGUACGCGGCUGGCGGCUUACUUCCAUGUGUAGCUCCUUCGAAGAGUCGAGUUGUUUGGGAAUGCAGCUCUAAAUGGGUGGUAAAUUUCAUCUAAAGCUAAAUACUGGCGAGAGACCGAUAGCGCACAAGUAGAGUGAUCGAAAGAUGAAAAGCACUUUGAAAAGAGAGUUAAACAGUACGUGAAAUUGUUGAAAGGGAAGCGCUUGCAAUCAGAUUUGCUUUCUGUUGAUCAACGUUCCUUUUGGUUCGUGCACUCUGCAGUUUGCAGGCCAGCAUCAGUUGCGGCGGCGGGACAAAGACCUUGGGAAUGUGGCUACCCUCGGGUAGUGUUAUAGCCCUUUGUGUAAUGCCGCCUGCCGCGAUUGAGGACCGCGCUUCGGCUAGGAUGCUGGCUUAAUGGUUGUAAGCGGCCCGUCUUGAAACACGGACCAAGGAGUCUAACAUCUAUGCGAGUGUUUGGGUGUUAAACCCAUACGCGUAAUGAAAGUGAACGGAGGUGGGAGUCUUCGGAUGCACCAUCGACCGAUCCUGAUGUUUUCGGAUGGAUUUGAGUAUGAGCAUAGCUGUUGGGACCCGAAAGAUGGUGAACUAUGCCUGAAUAGGGUGAAGCCAGAGGAAACUCUGGUGGAGGCUCGCAGCGGUUCUGACGUGCAAAUCGAUCGUCAAAUUUGGGUAUAGGGGCGAAAGAC
Molecule: ribosomal RNA, 835 nt
Filed under: Orbilia subocellata
Lineage: Eukaryota; Fungi; Ascomycota; Orbiliomycetes; Orbiliales; Orbiliaceae
Description: LSU rRNA
Rfam family: Eukaryotic large subunit ribosomal RNA
Source: RNAcentral